This 497-nucleotide ribosomal RNA is filed under the name uncultured bacterium. Its description in RNAcentral is "partial 16S ribosomal RNA". It matches the Rfam family "Bacterial small subunit ribosomal RNA", at positions 28 to 507 of the family's 1533-position model. The record is from RNAcentral.
GACGAACGCUGGCGGCGUGCCUAAUACAUGCAAGUUGAGCGAUGAAGCUUGGUGCUUGCACCAAUUUGAAGAGCAGCGAACGGGUGAGUAACGCGUGGGGAAUCUGCCUUUGAGCGGGGGACAACAUUUGGAAACGAAUGCUAAUACCGCAUAACAACUUUAAACAUAAGUUUUAAGUUUGAAAGAUGCAAUUGCAUCACUCAAAGAUGAUCCCGCGUUGUAUUAGCUAGUUGGUGAGGUAAAGGCCCACCAAGGCGAUGAUACAUAGCCGACCUGAGAGGGUGAUCGGCCACAUUGGGACUGAGACACGGCCCAAACUCCUACGGGAGGCAGCAGUAGGGAAUCUUCGGCAAUAGACGAAAGUCUGACCGAGCAACGCCGCGUGAGUGAAGAAGGUUUUCGGAUCGUAAAACUCUGUUGGUAGAGAAGAACGUUGGUGAGAGUGGAAAGCUCAUCAAGUGACGGUAACUACCCAGAAAGGGACGGCUAACUACGUG